CGGCCUAGCCGCCGCGUGCCUCGAUGUCCGUGAGGAAUGC
Molecule: unclassified non-coding RNA, 40 nt
Filed under: Rubia horrida
Lineage: Eukaryota; Viridiplantae; Streptophyta; Magnoliopsida; Gentianales; Rubiaceae
Description: partial external transcribed spacer
Source: RNAcentral